GUGGGAGGAGCGGGGCGGUGAGAGCCUGGCUAGGCAGGCUGGAAACAGUAGCUCUUAACGGUCCCCCGCCCGUUGGUGGCAAGGCGGCUGGACUGGAAUCCCAGCAGGCGACAUGCGAGGAGGCGGGCAGCCCAGGAGGGUUGGACACGGCAAUGUGGACCUCGCCGCUUCCACAACGAUGCUGGCUACUGAUCGCGUGCACUUCCUUGCCAAAGAAAAGAAAUUAAUGUUAUGACUGGAUGAAGACAAUUGUGAAGAAACUGCACUUUGAGGUUGUCUAUCUCUGUAUUCUGAUGGAAAAGCGUGGAGUUUAGAAGCACUGCUCACUCCUUCAGUUUCUAACAACAUUUUGAAUAUAUGGUCUCCAAGUUUGCUUGCAAAGCUUCUGCUGAAAAAUCCACUGAUACCAUUAUAAAGGUUUCCUUCUAUGUGAAGAAUUUAUCUCUUGCUGUUUUCAAGAUUUGUGCUUUAUCUUUGUAUUUUGACAAUCAUAAUGUGUCCAAGGGCAAUCUUUAUUAGGUUCUUCUUGCUGAAGAUAUUUGGAGCUUCAUAAAACUUGAUGUUCAUAUUCUUUUCUAGAUUCAGAAAGUUUUAAGACAUUAUAUAUUUAAAUCUCUGUUCCUCUUUCUCUCUUUUUCUGAAAUUUCUGAAAUGUGUAUAUUUGUUCACUUUAUGGUUGGUUACUUGUAAAUAGCCUGUCUUUGAGUUUGCUGAAUUUUUCUUCUUUAUUAUUGAUUCUCCUGUUAAACAUUUCUAUUAUAUUUUUUCAGUUCUGCCACUGUUUAUUUCAGUUCCAGGAUUUCUGUUUGAUUUUUUUUUUACUUGCUCAAUCUCUUUAUUUAGUGGCACACAUAGAAUGAAUGAAUGAGCUCUUAGUUGUGCCAUACUUAGUAAGUCUGAUCUUGCUUAUAGAAAUAGGAUCUUAAUAAUUCAUUCUCAGAACACUUUAAAACCCAAGACACAGUUUUUCUUUCAAGGAUGUGGAAAGCAUUCCUCAUUCAAAUCUGAUUUAUGGUUUUAUAAAGUAUGUACCUCAUUUUUAUUAGUCAUUAUCUUCAUGCUAGAUUCUAAUAUUCUUUUUGAUGGUGGCGUGUUCAAUGAUAGAAACUUACAGAGAGAAAAUUCCUUCCUUCUCAAUUUUAAACAAAAAUUUUAAAAGCAACAUUUUUGAUGUGGUAGGAAGACAUUUAUAUGACAUACACAGCUACUGCCUUAAACUGGCAAAAAUAACAAAAGAAAAAAUUGUUAUUUAACCUUUAAAUAAUGAGUAUCUAUUUGCUACAAAUCUACAAAUAUUUUAAAUAUAUUUCCUCUACUGCAAUAAAAAUUAAGAUAACCCUCUGUUUAACAGCUUUUGAAGAUGUUAAUUUUAUAAGGAAAUAAAAAAGAUUGACUUGCCUCCUGAAUAUCCAGUGAUAAACUGAGCCCUAAUUUCCCUCCCUCAAGAACAUAAAAAUGAUGUAAAGUGGAUCAAAGUAUGUAACAAUAUUAACAAUAUUAAAAAUGAUUUUUCAUA
This is a long non-coding RNA of Homo sapiens (human), 1516 nucleotides long. Ensembl annotates it as long intergenic non-protein coding RNA 2848. The record is from Ensembl. NCBI's taxonomy places the organism in Eukaryota, Metazoa, Chordata, Mammalia, Primates, Hominidae.